GACGAACGCUGGCGGCGUGCUUAACACAUGCAAGUCGAACGGAAAGGCCCUGCUUUUGUGGGGUGCUCGAGUGGCGAACGGGUGAGUAACACGUGAGUAACCUGCCCUUGACUUUGGGAUAACUUCAGGAAACUGGGGCUAAUACCGGAUAGGAGCUCCUGCUGCAUGGUGGGGGUUGGAAAGUUUCGGCGGUUGGGGAUGGACUCGCGGCUUAUCAGCUUGUUGGUGGGGUAGUGACUUACCAAGGCUUUGACGGGUAGCCGGCCUGAGAGGGUGACCGGCCACAUUGGGACUGAGAUACGGCCCAGACUCCUACGGGAGGCAGCAGUGGGGAAUAUUGCACAAUGGGGGGAAGCCUGAUGCAGCAACGCCGCGUGCGGGAUGACGGCCUUCGGGUUGAAAACCGCUUUCGCCUGUGACGAAGCGUGAGUGACGGUAAUGGGUAAAGAAGCACCGGCUAACUACGUG
RNAcentral lists this ribosomal RNA (468 nucleotides) under uncultured bacterium. RNAcentral describes it as "partial 16S ribosomal RNA". It matches the Rfam family "Bacterial small subunit ribosomal RNA", at positions 28 to 507 of the family's 1533-position model. The record is from RNAcentral.